Molecule: ribosomal RNA, 497 nt
Filed under: uncultured bacterium
Lineage: Bacteria
Description: partial 16S ribosomal RNA
Rfam family: Bacterial small subunit ribosomal RNA
Source: RNAcentral
GAUGAACGCUGGCGGCGUGCCUAAUACAUGCAAGUCGAGCGAACGGACGAGAAGCUUGCUUCUCUGAUGUUAGCGGCGGACGGGUGAGUAACACGUGGAUAACCUACCUAUAAGACUGGGAUAACUUCGGGAAACCGGAGCUAAUACCGGAUAAUAUUUUGAACCGCAUGGUUCAAAAGUGAAAGACGGUCUUGCUGUCACUUAUAGAUGGAUCCGCGCUGCAUUAGCUAGUUGGUAAGGUAACGGCUUACCAAGGCAACGAUGCAUAGCCGACCUGAGAGGGUGAUCGGCCACACUGGAACUGAGACACGGUCCAGACUCCUACGGGAGGCAGCAGUAGGGAAUCUUCCGCAAAGGGCGAAAGCCUGACGGAGCAACGCCGCGUGAGUGAUGAAGGUCUUCGGAUCGUAAAACUCUGUUAUUAGGGAAGAACAUAUGUGUAAGUAACUGUGCACAUCUUGACGGUACCUAAUCAGAAAGCCCCGGCUAGCUACGUG